UACAGAGGGUGCAAGCGUUGUUCGGAAUUAUUGGGCGUAAAGGGCGCGUAGGCGGCUUGGCAAGUGGAUGGUGAAAUCCCUCGGCUUAACCGAGGAACUGCCGUCCAAACUGCUUCGCUUGAGACCGGGAGAGGUGAGUGGAAUUCCCAGUGUAGCGGUGAAAUGCGUAGAUAUUGGGAGGAACACCAGUGGCGAAGGCGGCUCACUGGACCGGUACUGACGCUGAUGCGCGAAAGCGUGGGGAGCGAACAGG
This 253-nucleotide ribosomal RNA is filed under the name uncultured bacterium. Its description in RNAcentral is "partial 16S ribosomal RNA". It matches the Rfam family "Bacterial small subunit ribosomal RNA", at positions 524 to 776 of the family's 1533-position model. The record is from RNAcentral.